Molecule: ribosomal RNA, 484 nt
Filed under: Austropyrgus angasi
Lineage: Eukaryota; Metazoa; Mollusca; Gastropoda; Littorinimorpha; Tateidae
Description: partial 16S ribosomal RNA
Rfam family: Bacterial large subunit ribosomal RNA
Source: RNAcentral
UAAAAAAUAAAGAGUCGAGCCUGCCCAGUGAUAGAUAUUUAACGGCCGCGGUACUCUGACCGUGCAAAGGUAGCAUAAUCAUUUGCCUUAUAAUUGAAGGCUAGUAUGAAUGGUUUGACGAAAACAAUACUGUCUCUUUUUAAUUUUAUAAAAUUUGAUUUUUAGGUGAAGAAGCCUAAAUAAAAUUGAAAGACAAGAAGACCCUAUCGAGCUUAAAAAAAUUUUGUUAAAAUAAAAUGGCUAUAAAAGAUCUCCCGUAACAAAAAAUUUUAGUUGGGGCGACUAAGGAACAAAAAAGCUUCCGCUUUAUUAUAAAAGCUUAUAAGCUAUGAUCCAAAAUUCUUGAUUAAAAAAAUUAGCUACCGUAGGGAUAACAGCAUAAUCUUUUUUGAGAGUUCUUAUCGAAAAAUAGGUUUGUGACCUCGAUGUUGGACUAGAAUAUCCUAAAUGAUGCAGAAGUCUUUAAGGGUUGGUCUGUUCGACC